This 468-nucleotide ribosomal RNA is filed under the name uncultured bacterium. RNAcentral describes it as "partial 16S ribosomal RNA". It matches the Rfam family "Bacterial small subunit ribosomal RNA", at positions 28 to 507 of the family's 1533-position model. The record is from RNAcentral.
GACGAACGCUGGCGGCGUGCUUAACACAUGCAAGUCGAACGGAAAGGCCCUGCUCUUGUGCGGUGCUCGAGUGGCGAACGGGUGAGUAACACGCGAGUAACCUGCCCUUGACUUUGGGAUAACUUCAGGAAACUCGGGCUAAUACCGGAUAGGAGCUCCUGCUGCACGGUGGGGGUUGGAAAGAUUCGGCGGUUGGGGAUGGACUCGCGGCUUAUCAGCUAGUUGGUGGGGUAGUGGCUUACCAAGGCUACGACGGAUAGCCGGCCUGAGAGGGUGACCGGCCACAAUGGGACUAAGAUACGGCCCAGACGCCAACGGGAGGCAGAAGUGGGGAAUAUUGCGCAGUGGGCGGAAGCCUGAUACAGCAACGCCGCGUGCGGGAUGACGGCCUUCGGGUUAUAAACCGCUUUCGCCUGUAACGAGGCGUGAGUGACGGUAAUGGAUAAAGAAGCACCGGCUAACUACGUG